AGGAUUAGAUACCCGGGUAGUCCCAGCUGUAAACGAUGCAGGCUAGGUGUUUGGACGGCCACGUGCCGUUCUAGUGCCGCAGGGAAGCUGUUAAGCCUGCCGCCUGGGGAGUACGAUCGCAAGAUUGAAACUUAAAGGAAUUGGCGGGGGAGCACCACAAGGGGUGAAGCUUGCGGUUUAAUUGGAGUCAACGCCGGAAAUCUCACCGGGAGCGACAGCAGUGUGAAGGCCAGAUUAAAGGUCUUGCCAGACGAGCUGAGAGGAGGUGCAUGGCCGUCGCCAGUUCGUGCCGUGAGGUGUCCUGUUAAGUCAGGCAACGAUCGAGACCCGCGUCCUCUGUUGCUACUAGCCUUGUGCUGGGCACACUGAGGAGACCGCCACUGAUAAAGUGGAGGAAGGAGCGGGCCACGGCAGGUCAGUAUGCCCCGAAUCUCCCGGGCCACACGCGAGCUGCAAUGGCAGGUACAAUGGGUUCCGACCUCGAAAGGGGGAGGCAAUCUCGAAAGCCUGCCGUAGUUGGAAUCGAGGGUUGAAACCCACCCUCGUGAACAUGGAAUCCCUAGUAAUCGCGUGUCACUAGCGCGCGGUGAAUACGUCCCUGCUCCUUGCACACACCGCCCGUCGUUCCACCCGAGCGACUCUUGGGUGAGGUGCCGUCCUCUGUGGCGGUAUCGAAUCUAAGUUUCGUGAGGGGGGAAAAGUCGUAACAAG
RNAcentral lists this ribosomal RNA (711 nucleotides) under uncultured bacterium. Its description in RNAcentral is "bacterial SSU rRNA". It matches the Rfam family "Archaeal small subunit ribosomal RNA", at positions 725 to 1442 of the family's 1478-position model. The record is from RNAcentral.